RNAcentral lists this ribosomal RNA (497 nucleotides) under uncultured bacterium. RNAcentral's name for it is "partial 16S ribosomal RNA". It matches the Rfam family "Bacterial small subunit ribosomal RNA", at positions 28 to 507 of the family's 1533-position model. The record is from RNAcentral.
GACGAACGCUGGCGGCGUGCCUAAUACAUGCAAGUAGAACGCUGAAGCGAGGAGCUUGCUCUUCUUGGAUGAGUUGCGAACGGGUGAGUAACGCGUAGGUAACCUGCCUUGUAGCGGGGGAUAACUAUUGGAAACGAUAGCUAAUACCGCAUAACAAUGGAUGACACAUGUCAUUUAUUUGAAAGGGGCAAUUGCUCCACUACAAGAUGGACCUGCGUUGUAUUAGCUAGUAGGUGAGGUAAUGGCUCACCUAGGCGACGAUACAUAGCCGACCUGAGAGGGGGGUUGGGCACAAUGGGAAUGAGAAAAGGGCCAGAACUCUUAGGGAAGGAGCAGGAGGGAAAUCUCGGGAAUGGGGGGAAACCCGAACGAGGAAAGCCGGGGGAGGGAAGAAGGGUUUCGGAUCGGAAAGCUCUGUUGUAAGUCAAGAACGGGUGUGAGAGUGGAAAGUUCACACUGUGACGGUAGCUUAACAGAAAGGGACGGCUAACUACGUG